Non-coding RNA from Mycena capillaripes, 92 nucleotides. NCBI's taxonomy places the organism in Eukaryota, Fungi, Basidiomycota, Agaricomycetes, Agaricales, Mycenaceae. The record is from the annotation of a GenBank genome assembly.
GGUUCUGUGGCACAGUGGUAAGUGCACCGGACCAGGUGAUGACAUCACUCAAUGUUCACCGGUAGAUUGUGUGUUCGAAUCCACCAGAGCCG